This 2474-nucleotide long non-coding RNA is filed under the name Solanum tuberosum (potato). RNAcentral's name for it is "long non-coding RNA (STUB_LNC011766)". Lineage: Eukaryota; Viridiplantae; Streptophyta; Magnoliopsida; Solanales; Solanaceae. The record is from RNAcentral.
UUGGGGCAUCCUGGGAGGAUUAAAAUGCAGGGAAUGACUAGAGGAGAAUGGAAAUAUACCUUUCUCAAAAUGUACAUCUCUACUGAUAAAGAAUGACCUGGUAAUUAGAUAAAAAAAGUAUGUACCCAUUUUGGGUAGUGGAAUAACCCAUAUGAACUGAUUUAACUGCUCUCACGCCAAACUUAUAUCGUAUAGGAGAAUUAACAGUGGCAUAACACAAACAACCCAACACGCGAAGAUGUUGUAGAUUAGGUCUCCUUCCUAGGAAAACCUCAAGAGGAGACUUCCCUCCUAGUGCACUAGUAGGGAUUCUGUUGAUGAGAUACACAACACUUUGAACACACUUGCCCCAAAACCUGAUUGGAAUAAAACCUUGGAAAUUAUUAAUCUGGCUACCUCUAGAAUUUGCCUAUGUUUUCUUUCCACCACACCAUUUUGUUGAGGUGUGUAAGGACAAGAGCUUUGAUGAACAAUACAUGUAUCACUGAACAAAACUUUGCAAGCAGAAUUGAAAAAUUCAAUCCCAUUAUCACUUCUGAAAACUUUGACAGUAGUCUCAAAUUGAUUCUUAACAAGCUGUAGAAAAUCUUUUAAUACAAGAGGAAUAUCACUUUUGAACUUCAACAAGUAAAUCCAAACCAUUCGGGUGUGAUCAUCCACUAAGGUAAGGAAGAAUCUGUGCCCAUUACACAUAGGUACCUUAUAAGGUCCCCAUACAUCUCCAUGAACUAAAUCAAACAUUUUAUUUUCUCUACUAGUACUAUGAGGAAAAGGAAUCCUAGUAUGUUUAGCUAGAGGACAGAUGUGGCAAACAACAUGCUUGGAUCUCUUAGUCAGCUGCAUUUGAGCCAAGACUCUAUGUGGAACAUGGCCUAACCUCUUGUGCCAUAUGUCAGUAUCCAGAACUGUACUGCAAGCUACCAUUGAAUGUUGAAACCCAGACUGCAAGUGAUAUAGGUCAUUUAGCAUUCUACCAGUCCCAUUCACCUGCCCACUGUGAAGGUCCUGCAUUAAGCAGAAAUCAGGAUAGAACUUCAACACACAAUUUAGCUCUCUGGUCAGCUUGGCUACAGAUAAUAAAUUAAGUUUAAAACCUGGAACACAUAGCACAUUUUUUUUAUCAUACCCUGGUCUAGCCUACAACUACCAACAUGCAGUAUAUGAAGUUUGCUUCCAUCAGGUAAAUGUACACUUCCAGUUUCAUUACAACCAUUAAUCUCAGAUAACAAGCUAGGAUGACAAACCAAGUGAUUAGUUUCUCAUGUGUCUACUAUCCAAUCAUGUACAACUUUCUCCUUCUCUAAAGUAUAAGAAGUACCUGCCAUGUUAGCUGAUGGUGAAGGGGCAUGAGUAUUUUUAGGAAACAUCCUUUGAACCUGUGCAUAUUGAUCAGGAGAUAAAGAAACAGUGAUGUUCACAUUAGUUGCCAUUUCAGGCUGCUGAUGUAGAUGAUCCUUUCCUCGACCAGUUCCCAGAGACUCCUCACCAUGAGGUCUUGGGCCAUAUGAGUUCCCAGAUUGAUUUCCACCCAUCGAGUUGCCUUGAAUCCCUGCAUAUCCAUAGCAAGGAGAUUGAGGCUUAUUAAUGUGCAGAUAUGGAGUCCAAUAUCCAUCAUGAGUACCUUGUGAACAUCCAGCCUGAGUACUAUGUGAAUAAGACUGAUGUGCUCCUGUUGUAGCAUACAGAGCAUUAUUAGCCAGGGGCUUUCUCUUCCCCUUAAAAUUAUCCGGAUAUCCUAUGAGUUGAUAACAAUUUGCAGCUGUAUGACCAUACAUCUUGUAAUGAUCACAUUGAUCAUUCCAGUUUCUCUUAGGCUUCUGAAAGUUACGGUUAGGUGUUGAUCCUCGAAAUUGACUUGUACCAUUUAUAUUGCCAGAAGAACUAGAUGAAUCUGAUCCACGUGCACUCCAAAAAGCAACAAUAUCAUUACCUUCUCCAAUGCCAUGUCUUCCUGAAUCGCUAAUGAAUCGAUGACUUUCUUCCUCUAUAAUCAUUGCAUAACACUGAUUUAGACUAGGCUCAGUUGUCUUCAUGAGGAUCUGUCGUUUACUGUGUAUAUGUAUCAUUUAAGCCACUUAGAAACUGUAACAAUUUUUGUUAUUGCAGGUGAGCGGUGUACUCCUUAUACCUAUCACAUCACAAUUAGGAAAAUGGACGAUUGCGUCGUAUUCAGCCCAAAGCUCCUUCAAUUUGGUGAAGUAAGUUGAUACAGUGUCUGUCCCCUGCGAAAUCAUAGCAAUAUCUCUGUGCAAUUGAAAAAUUCGUACUCGAUUAACUUUAUCAAACCUCUCUUGUAGAUCUUCCCAAACUGUGUGGGCAUCAGUAGUGUAAAGAAUUCCACUGAUAAGAUGUGGAGCUACAGUAUUAAUGAUCCAUGACAGAACAAUCGCAUUGCAAAUUUCCUAGUGCUCCUGCAGUUUCUUCUCAAACGAACUCUUCUUGCAUGUGCCAAGUACAAAACAAAGCUUCCUCUU